CCCUUAGAUGUUCUGGGCCGCACGCGCGCUACACUGACGAUGGCAACGAGUUUUUCCUUCGCCGAAAGGUGUGGGUAAUCUUUUGAAACAUCGUCGUGCAGGGGAUAGAUCAUUGCAAUUUUUGAUCUUGAACGAGGAAUUCCUAGUAAGCGCGAGUCAUCAGCUCGCGUUGAUUACGUCCCUGCCCUUUGUACACACCGCCCGUCGCUACUACCGAUUGAAUGGUUUAGUGAGGACUCCUGAUUGGCGCCGCCGCCCCGGCAACGGAGCAGCGGACUGCCGAAAAGUUGUUCAAACUUGAUCAUUUAGAGGAAGUAAAAGUCGUAACA
Molecule: ribosomal RNA, 329 nt
Filed under: uncultured eukaryote
Lineage: Eukaryota
Description: partial 18S ribosomal RNA
Rfam family: Eukaryotic small subunit ribosomal RNA
Source: RNAcentral